UACGGAAGGCAGCAGUGGGGAAUAUUGCACAAUGGGCGCAAGCCUGAUGCAGCCAUGCCGCGUGUAUGAAGAAGGCCUUCGGGUUGUAAAGUACUUUCAGCGGGGAGGAAGGCGAUGCGGUUAAUAACCGCGUCGAUUGACGUUACCCGCAGAAGAAGCACCGGCUAACUCCGUGCCAGCAGCCGCGGUAAUACGGAGGGUGCAAGCGUUAAUCGGAAUUACUGGGCGUAAAGCGCACGCAGGCGGUCUGUUAAGUCAGAUGUGAAAUCCCCGGGCUUAACCUGGGAACUGCAUUUGAAACUGGCAGGCUUGAGUCUUGUAGAGGGGGUAGAAGUUCCAGGUGUAGCGGUGAAAUGCGUAGAGAUCUGGAGGAAUACCGGUGGCGAAAGGCGGCCCCCUGGGACAAAAGACUGACGCUCAGGUGCGAAAGCGUGGGGAGCGAAAACAGGAUUAGGAUACC
Molecule: ribosomal RNA, 460 nt
Filed under: uncultured bacterium
Lineage: Bacteria
Description: bacterial SSU rRNA
Rfam family: Bacterial small subunit ribosomal RNA
Source: RNAcentral